CUAAUCUGCUGCGGUGGUGGCACGACUUUAGACCUAGACCGUCGUGGCCGCAGUAGGAGCCGACGCUCGCUGUAUGGACCGGUGGAGAGGUGUAAUAGGGAGCAAGUGAGGUCGCGGAGUUUGAGCGGGGGGAAGGACGUUCAACGCUUCCGGCGACUGUCCCGCAAGUAGGUGGAAGCUGGAGUGUUGGCUAGACUGGCGGGGCCUACAGUAACGGCGGGCCGGUCUAGCGGUACCCUGAGCUGCGGUGGUUGCGGAGGUGUGAAGUCCUCCUGGUCUACGGUGUGCCUAGACCGACAGUGCUUGUGGCGGUGGCGGUGUGGCAGAAAGAACGGUCAGGUCUAGGUGAAAAGGGAAUAGAGUGAGCACCAUGCUCACGGUCAGUAUCGUCUCUUGAUACUCCGUAGCUGCUAGGUCGGCGGCAGAACAAAAAGACAGAGAGGUUCUAUUUGUUACGCCGUGAGGGAGGUAGCCCAAGGUUGUUGCGUGCUAUCAACGCUGAGGUAGAAGGAGGAGUUGGUACAACAAGGUUUAUAUAAAAAACUUUGCAACAACGUUUUAAAACCUAACAAUGUUAGGUGUGGCAUGUGCUAAGACGUAACAAAGCACACACGGUUUCACGAUGUAUCCGCUGUUCAAACAAGGGACACACUAAUGGGGAGUAGUCGGUUAGCUAAUAACAAAACGUCCACCUCAUUGCGAGUACGGUCUUAGCUCGUAUUAGACUUUGUCAACAGUAAGAGAGAUCUACGAUUAUCCUAUUAUACGUUCACUGGAAAGUUCUUUUGGCGCUACCUGUUUCUUCGCAAUGUUGUUUAAAUCAGCGGAAGUUCUUUAAUCCUCUUCUCUGCUGUUUUUUUACAAGGAAGGAAAUUACUUCUGCCUUCGAUAUGUUUAUACAAACCCCCGGUUCUGUUGAGUAAACAAUUAAAUCAGGAAUCACGGCUACGAUGAACAAAGUAGUUCAAAGAUACAUUGAGCACAAUAAAACUAGAUACAUCAUGCACUUGAUACUAAGACAAAAAUUAUUUUUUAAUACUACCAC
RNAcentral lists this ribosomal RNA (1045 nucleotides) under Triticum aestivum (bread wheat). RNAcentral's name for it is "partial small subunit ribosomal RNA". Lineage: Eukaryota; Viridiplantae; Streptophyta; Magnoliopsida; Poales; Poaceae. The record is from RNAcentral.